AGCACCUCUCCCUUCACUCUCUUUCUCCUGUUUGGCCGUGUACCAAGUUCCUGCCUGUCUUCUGUCUUCACCCGUGACUUGCCUCAAGUAGUUGGCUCCUUUCCCACCGGCUACUUUGUAACUGCGAAUAUGACAACAUGACGGUGAUUCACAGAUGCCAAAAUAUGACGAGCAGAGCAAAUCUGUGUUCCAGAUAUGAUAAGGGUGACAUGAAGGAAGAAAAAGAACCUAUUAUCAUGUAAAAACCAUACUAUGGAAAGCGAUUUCAUAAAAAGUGGAAUUCUGUAAUAUAAUGC
Molecule: long non-coding RNA, 296 nt
Filed under: Homo sapiens (human)
Lineage: Eukaryota; Metazoa; Chordata; Mammalia; Primates; Hominidae
Description: HSALNT0323878
Source: RNAcentral